Zalophus californianus (California sea lion) is the source of this 508-nucleotide long non-coding RNA. RefSeq lists it as uncharacterized. The transcript is spliced from 3 exons. The record is from RefSeq and is a predicted model, not a curated record. Lineage: Eukaryota; Metazoa; Chordata; Mammalia; Carnivora; Otariidae.
ACAAGUUUUAUCACAAAUGUUUGCUGUAUGAUAUAACUUACACACUAAAAUGGCAUUUGGGGAUUCUUCAGGAUGAUGAAAGACACUUAGAAAAUUCAAAUUACUGAGUACUGUUAGUAUUAUAAAAUACAGCUAGAUCAAAAAUAUGAAGGAAUGAGCAGGACCGGGAGAAUCACAGCCCAGUGUUGGGAGUUAUACGCUGAUUUGCUCUGCUAGAUACCAAAGUUUCUGGGAAACAGAACCCACGAGUAAGGAGGACUCCCGUCAUGGCCUCAACCAUGUCACAGCCUUGCCAUGUCAUGACAACCUUGUCAUGGCCUCUAUGUGUUUACCUCCAAAAACAAGGAUAUAUUCGUUGACUCUGAGCAAUGGAAGAUGGGAGAAAAAGAACUAGGUAACAGUCUUGGAGUAGAUAACAAUUAAAAUAUAGAAGAAAGCCUGCUUCCUGUUCGUUUUGAGUCAGAAAAGCAGAAAUUUGAUGGGAGAGUCAAAUUUCAAGAUGAGAAGC